UUUAAGGUUUGAUUUGCCCUAUGAGGAGUUAAAUGGCCGCGGUAUUUUGACCGUGCAAAGGUAGCAUAAUAAUUAGUUUUUUAAUUGAAAGCUGGAAUGAAAGAUUUGACGAGAAAAUUUCUGUCUCAAUUUAAUUUUAUUAGAAUUUUAUUUUUAAGUAAGAAAGCUUAAAUUUUUUUAAAAGACGAGAAGACCCUAUAGAGUUUUAUAUUUUAUUGAAUAGAAAUUUUAUAGAAUUUUGAUAUUUGUAUUUUAUAAAAUAUUUUGUUGGGGCGAUAGGUAAAUUUAGAAAACUUUAUUUUUUUUUUUCAUUUAUUUAUGUUUAUUUGAUCCAUUAUUUAUGAUUAUAAGAUUUAAUUACCUUAGGGAUAACAGCGUAAUUUUUUUUAGAGUUCUUAUUGAAUAAAGGGAUUGCGACCUCGAUGUUGGAUUAAAAUAAACGUUUGGUGUAGGGGCUAAAUAUUUGGGUCUGUUCAACCUUUAAAAUUUUACA
Molecule: ribosomal RNA, 493 nt
Filed under: Pseudotrochalus sp. DA1521
Lineage: Eukaryota; Metazoa; Arthropoda; Insecta; Coleoptera; Scarabaeidae
Description: partial 16S large subunit ribosomal RNA
Source: RNAcentral